UAUACUCUCAUAAUUGGAUUCAACAAGGUCUAAUACCUUGAAAAUUAUUAAAAAUUGAGAGAGGUCAAUUGAUUUCUCAUUAUAAAAAUAUGUUUUUCAUCAAAAAGGGGGUUCAAGGCUUAAAUAUAAGAGAAUUCAAUUUAUAAAAACAAAUAUACAAAUAGAAGUAUUUUCAAAAAAAUGAAGGGUCAACUGACCCCUCAUUUAAAAUCAUGCAUCCGCCAAUGGAUUUCUCUAUUCAUGAACAAAUUAUCCUAAGAUGAAGGUCUCUAUUCUCAAACUUGAAGCACAACAGUUAUGUACCUCCACUAAAUGAAAA
Molecule: unclassified non-coding RNA, 319 nt
Filed under: Hevea brasiliensis (rubber tree)
Lineage: Eukaryota; Viridiplantae; Streptophyta; Magnoliopsida; Malpighiales; Euphorbiaceae
Source: RNAcentral